Molecule: ribosomal RNA, 403 nt
Filed under: uncultured bacterium
Lineage: Bacteria
Description: partial 16S ribosomal RNA
Rfam family: Bacterial small subunit ribosomal RNA
Source: RNAcentral
GACGAACGCUGGCGGCGUGCCUAAUACAUGCAAGUCGAACGCAGUGGGGACGGGUGAGUAACACGUGGGUAACCUCCCAUCAGAGGGGAUAACACUUGGAAACAGGUGCUAAACCGAUACUGAUGGAUGGACCCGCGGUGCAUUAGCUAGUUGGUGAGGUAACGGCUCACCAAGGCCACGAUGCAUAGCCGGCCUGAGAGGGUGAUCGGCCACACUGGGACUUGGGAACGGCCCAGACUCCUAAGGGAGGCAGCAGUAGGGAAACUUCGGCAAUGGACGGAAGUCUGACCGAGCAACGCCCGGUGAGUGGAGAAGGUUUUUGGGUCGUAAAACUCUGUUGUUAGAGAAGCGGUAUCUUACCAGAAAGGGACGGCUAACUACGUGCCAGCAGCCGCGGUAAUUC